ACACGACUACUAUUAGACUACCCGGUAGUCCUAGACCGUAAACGAUACUCGCUAGGUGUCGGCCACGGUGCGACCGUUGUCGGUGCCGUAGGGAAGCCGUGAAGCGAGCCACCUGGGAAGUACGGCCGCAAGGCUGAAACUUAAAGGAAUUGGCGGGGGAGCACCACAACGGGUGGAGCUUGCGGUUUAAUUGGAUUCAACGCCGGAAAUCUUACCGGGACCGACAGCAGCAUGAAGGCCAGGCUGAAGACUUUGCCGGAUUAGCUG
Molecule: ribosomal RNA, 267 nt
Filed under: uncultured archaeon
Lineage: Archaea
Description: partial 16S ribosomal RNA
Rfam family: Archaeal small subunit ribosomal RNA
Source: RNAcentral